GUAGAUGCAGUUUAACUAAAACACUAGAUUGUGAUUCUAGAGACAGAGGUUAGACCCCUCUCAUCAACC
Molecule: transfer RNA, 69 nt
Filed under: Xenopus cf. tropicalis Asashima-A-001
Lineage: Eukaryota; Metazoa; Chordata; Amphibia; Anura; Pipidae
Description: tRNA-His
Rfam family: tRNA
About the family: Transfer RNA (tRNA) molecules are approximately 80 nucleotides in length. Their secondary structure includes four short double-helical elements and three loops (D, anti-codon, and T loops).
Source: RNAcentral